CCUACGGGAGGCAGCAGUGAGGAAUAUUGGUCAAUGGACGCAAGUCUGAACCAGCCAUGCCGCGUGCAGGAAGACGGCUCUAUGAGUUGUAAACUGCUUUUGUACGAGGGUAAACUCAGAUACGCGUAUCUGUCUGCACGUAUCGUACGAAUAAGGAUCGGCUAACUCCGUGCCAGCAGCCGCGGUAAUACGGAGGAUUCAAGCGUUAUCCGGAUUUAUUGGGUUUAAAGGGUGCGUAGGCGGUCGGAUAAGUUAGAGGUGAAAUCCCGAGGCUCAACUUCGGAAUUGCCUCUGAUACUGGUCGGCUAGAGAGUAGUUGCGGUAGGCGGAAUGUAUGGUGUAGCGGUGAAAUGCUUAGAGAUCAUACAGAACACCGAUUGCGAAGGCAGCUUACCAAGCUACUUCUGACGUUGAGGCACGAAAGCGUGGGGAGCAAACAGGAUUAGAUACCCCAGUAGUC
Molecule: ribosomal RNA, 460 nt
Filed under: uncultured bacterium
Lineage: Bacteria
Description: partial 16S ribosomal RNA
Rfam family: Bacterial small subunit ribosomal RNA
Source: RNAcentral